Molecule: ribosomal RNA, 497 nt
Filed under: uncultured bacterium
Lineage: Bacteria
Description: partial 16S ribosomal RNA
Rfam family: Bacterial small subunit ribosomal RNA
Source: RNAcentral
GAUGAACGCUGGCGGCGUGCCUAAUACAUGCAAGUCGAGCGAACAGACGAGGAGCUUGCUCCUCUGACGUUAGCGGCGGACGGGUGAGUAACACGUGGAUAACCUACCUAUAAGACUGGGAUAACUUCGGGAAACCGGAGCUAAUACCGGAUAAUAUAUUGAACCGCAUGGUUCAAUAGUGAAAGACGGUUUUGCUGUAACUUAUAGAUGGAUCCGCGCCGCAUUAGCUAGUUGGUAAGGUAACGGCUUACCAAGGCAACGAUGCGUAGCCGACCUGAGAGAGUGAUCGGCCACACUGGAACUGAGACACGGUCCAGACUCCUGCGGUAGGCAGCAGUAGGGAAUCUUCCGCAAUGGGCGAAAGCCUGACGGAGCAACGCCGCGUGAGUGAUGAAGGUCUUCGGAUCGUAAAACUCUGUUAUUAGGGAAGAACAAAUGUGUAAGUAACUAUGCACGUCUUGACGGUACCUAAUCAGAAAGCCACGGCUAACUACGUG